GACGAACGCUGGCGGCGUGCUUAACACAUGCAAGUCGUACGGUAAGGCCCUUUCGGGGGUACACGAGUGGCGAACGGGUGAGUAACACGUGAGUAACCUGCCCACAACUUUGGGAUAACGCUAGGAAACUGGUGCUAAUACUGGAUAUGUGCUCCUGCUUCAUGGUGGGGGUUGGAAAGCUCCGGCGGUUGUGGAUGGACUCGCGGCCUAUCAGCUUGUUGGUGGGGUAGUGGCCUACCAAGGCGGCGACGGGUAGCCGGCCUGAGAGGGUGACCGGCCACAUUGGGACUGAGAUACGGCCCAGACUCCUACGGGAGGCAGCAGUGGGGAAUAUUGCACAAUGGGCGCAAGCCUGAUGCAGCAACGCCGCGUGCGGGAGGACGGCCUUCGGGUUGUAAACCGCUUUCAGCAGGGACGAAGCUUUUUGUGACGGUACCUGCAGAAGAAGCACCGGCUAACUACGUG
RNAcentral lists this ribosomal RNA (465 nucleotides) under uncultured bacterium. RNAcentral's name for it is "partial 16S ribosomal RNA". It matches the Rfam family "Bacterial small subunit ribosomal RNA", at positions 28 to 507 of the family's 1533-position model. The record is from RNAcentral.